This 497-nucleotide ribosomal RNA is filed under the name uncultured bacterium. Its description in RNAcentral is "partial 16S ribosomal RNA". It matches the Rfam family "Bacterial small subunit ribosomal RNA", at positions 28 to 507 of the family's 1533-position model. The record is from RNAcentral.
GAUGAACGCUGGCGGCGUGCCUAAUACAUGCAAGUCGAGCGAACAGACGAGGAGCUUGCUCCUUUGACGUUAGCGGCGGACGGGUGAGUAACACGUGGGUAACCUACCUAUAAGACUGGGAUAACUUCGGGAAACCGGAGCUAAUACCGGAUAAUAUUUCGAACCGCAUGGUUCGAUAGUGAAAGAUGGCUUUGCUAUCACUUAUAGAGGGACCUGCGCCGUAUUAGCUAGUUGGUAAGUUAACGGCUUACCAAGGCAACGAUACGUAGCCGACCUGAGAGGGUGAUCGGCCACACUGGAACUGAGACACGGUCCAGACUCCUACGGGAGGCAGCAGUAGGGAAUCUUCCGCAAUGGGCGAAAGCCUGACGGAGCAACGCCGCGUGAGUGAUGAAGGUCUUCGGAUCGUAAAACUCUGUUAUUAGGGAAGAACAAACGUGUAAGUAACUGUGCACGUCUUGACGGUACCUAAUCAGAAAGCCACGGCUAACUACGUG